RNAcentral lists this transfer RNA (77 nucleotides) under Pontibacillus sp. ALD_SL1. Its description in RNAcentral is "tRNA-Met". It matches the Rfam family "tRNA". Rfam says of the family: Transfer RNA (tRNA) molecules are approximately 80 nucleotides in length. Lineage: Bacteria; Bacillati; Bacillota; Bacilli; Caryophanales; Bacillaceae. The record is from RNAcentral.
CGCGGGGUAGAGCAGUCUGGUAGCUCGUCGGGCUCAUAACCCGAAGGUCGCAGGUUCAAAUCCUGUCCCCGCAACCA